This 465-nucleotide ribosomal RNA is filed under the name uncultured bacterium. Its description in RNAcentral is "partial 16S ribosomal RNA". It matches the Rfam family "Bacterial small subunit ribosomal RNA", at positions 28 to 507 of the family's 1533-position model. The record is from RNAcentral.
GACGAACGCUGGCGGCGUGCUUAACACAUGCAAGUCGUACGGUAAGGCCCUUUCGGGGGUACACGAGUGGCGAACGGGUGAGUAACACGUGAGUAACCUGCCCACAACUUUGGGAUAACGCUAGGAAACUGGUGCUAAUACUGGAUAUGUGCUCCUGCUGCAUGGUGGGGGUUGGAAAGCUCCGGCGGUUGUGGAUGGACUCGCGGCCUAUCAGCUUGUUGGUGGGGUAGUGGCCUACCAAGGCGGCGACGGGUAGCCGGCCUGAGAGGGUGACCGGCCACAUUGGGACUGAGAUACGGCCCAGACGCCUACGGGAGGCAGCAGGGGGGAAUAUUGCACAAGGGGCGCAAGCCUGAUGCAGCAACGCCGCGGGCGGGAUGACGGCCUUCGGGUUGUAAACCGCUUUCAGCAGGGACGAAGCUUUUUGUGACGGUACCUGCAGAAGAAGCACCGGCUAACUACGUG